Molecule: non-coding RNA, 30 nt
Filed under: Bombyx mori (domestic silkworm)
Lineage: Eukaryota; Metazoa; Arthropoda; Insecta; Lepidoptera; Bombycidae
Source: RNAcentral
GAGACAUGUGAAGAUGGCCACGUAGUGCUU